This 2929-nucleotide ribosomal RNA is filed under the name Cronobacter dublinensis subsp. dublinensis LMG 23823. RNAcentral's name for it is "bacterial LSU rRNA". It matches the Rfam family "Bacterial large subunit ribosomal RNA". The record is from RNAcentral. Lineage: Bacteria; Pseudomonadati; Pseudomonadota; Gammaproteobacteria; Enterobacterales; Enterobacteriaceae.
GGGUUGUGAGGUUAAGCGAACAAGCGUACACGGUGGAUGCCCUGGCAGUCAGAGGCGAUGAAGGACGUGCUAAUCUGCGAAAAGCGCCGGUAAGGUGAUAUGAACCGUUAUAGCCGGCGAUGUCCGAAUGGGGAAACCCAGUGUGAUUCGUCACACUAUCUCAGCAUGAAUACAUAGUGCUGUGAGGCGAACCGGGGGAACUGAAACAUCUAAGUACCCCGAGGAAAAGAAAUCAACCGAGAUUCCCCCAGUAGCGGCGAGCGAACGGGGAACAGCCCAGAGCCUGAAUCAGCUUGUGUGUCAGUGGAACGGUCUGGAAAGGCCGGCGAUACAGGGUGACAGCCCCGUACACGAAGGCACACAGGCUGUGAGCUCGAUGAGUAGGGCGGGACACGUGAUAUCCUGUCUGAAGAUGGGGGGACCAUCCUCCAAGGCUAAAUACUCCUGACUGACCGAUAGUGAACCAGUACCGUGAGGGAAAGGCGAAAAGAACCCCGGCGAGGGGAGUGAAACAGAACCUGAAACCGUGUACGUACAAGCAGUGGGAGCCUUCGUAAGAGGGUGACUGCGUACCUUUUGUAUAAUGGGUCAGCGACUUAUAUUCUGUAGCAAGGUUAACCGCAUAGGGGAGCCGAAGGGAAACCGAGUCUUAAUUGGGCGUUAAGUUGCAGGGUAUAGACCCGAAACCCGGUGAUCUAGCCAUGGGCAGGUUGAAGGUUGGGUAACACUAACUGGAGGACCGAACCGACUAAUGUUGAAAAAUUAGCGGAUGACCUGUGGCUGGGGGUGAAAGGCCAAUCAAACCGGGAGAUAGCUGGUUCUCCCCGAAAGCUAUUUAGGUAGCGCCUCGUGAACUCAUCUUCGGGGGUAGAGCACUGUUUCGGCUAGGGGGCCAUCCCGGCUUACCAACCCGAUGCAAACUACGAAUACCGAAGAAUGUUAUCACGGGAGACACACGGCGGGUGCUAACGUCCGUCGUGAAGAGGGAAACAACCCAGACCGCCAGCUAAGGUCCCAAAGUCAUGGUUAAGUGGGAAACGAUGUGGGAAGGCACAGACAGCCAGGAUGUUGGCUUAGAAGCAGCCAUCAUUUAAAGAAAGCGUAAUAGCUCACUGGUCGAGUCGGCCUGCGCGGAAGAUGUAACGGGGCUAAACCAUGCACCGAAGCUGCGGCAGCGACACUAUGUGUUGUUGGGUAGGGGAGCGUUCUGUAAGCCUGCGAAGGUGUGCUGUGAGGCAUGCUGGAGGUAUCAGAAGUGCGAAUGCUGACAUAAGUAACGAUAAAGCGGGUGAAAAGCCCGCUCGCCGGAAGACCAAGGGUUCCUGUCCAACGUUAAUCGGGGCAGGGUGAGUCGACCCCUAAGGCGAGGCCGAAAGGCGUAGUCGAUGGGAAACAGGUUAAUAUUCCUGUACUUGGUGUUACUGCGAAGGGGGGACGGAGAAGGCUAUGUUGGCCGGGCGACGGUUGUCCCGGUUUAAGCGUGUAGGUGUGUGUUCCAGGUAAAUCCGGUUCACUUUAACACUGAGGCGUGAUGACGAGGCACUACGGUGCUGAAGUAACAAAUGCCCUGCUUCCAGGAAAAGCCUCUAAGCAUCAGGUAACACGAAAUCGUACCCCAAACCGACACAGGUGGUCAGGUAGAGAAUACCAAGGCGCUUGAGAGAACUCGGGUGAAGGAACUAGGCAAAAUGGUGCCGUAACUUCGGGAGAAGGCACGCUGACAUGUAGGUGAAGCCCCUGCGGGUGGAGCUGAAGUCAGUCGAAGAUACCAGCUGGCUGCAACUGUUUAUUAAAAACACAGCACUGUGCAAACACGAAAGUGGACGUAUACGGUGUGACGCCUGCCCGGUGCCGGAAGGUUAAUUGAUGGGGUUAUCGCAAGAGAAGCUCCUGAUCGAAGCCCCGGUAAACGGCGGCCGUAACUAUAACGGUCCUAAGGUAGCGAAAUUCCUUGUCGGGUAAGUUCCGACCUGCACGAAUGGCGUAAUGAUGGCCAGGCUGUCUCCACCCGAGACUCAGUGAAAUUGAACUCGCUGUGAAGAUGCAGUGUACCCGCGGCAAGACGGAAAGACCCCGUGAACCUUUACUACAGCUUGACACUGAACAUUGAGCCUUGAUGUGUAGGAUAGGUGGGAGGCUUUGAAGCGUGGACGCCAGUCUGCGUGGAGCCAACCUUGAAAUACCACCCUUUAAUGUUUGAUGUUCUAACCUGGCGCCAUAAUCUGGCGUGGGGACAGUGUCUGGUGGGUAGUUUGACUGGGGCGGUCUCCUCCCAAAGUGUAACGGAGGAGCACGAAGGUCAGCUAAUCCUGGUCGGACAUCAGGAGGUUAGUGCAAUGGCAUAAGCUGGCUUGACUGCGAGAGUGACGGCUCGAGCAGGUGCGAAAGCAGGUCAUAGUGAUCCGGUGGUUCUGUAUGGAAGGGCCAUCGCUCAACGGAUAAAAGGUACUCCGGGGAUAACAGGCUGAUACCGCCCAAGAGUUCAUAUCGACGGCGGUGUUUGGCACCUCGAUGUCGGCUCAUCACAUCCUGGGGCUGAAGUAGGUCCCAAGGGUAUGGCUGUUCGCCAUUUAAAGUGGUACGCGAGCUGGGUUUAGAACGUCGUGAGACAGUUCGGUCCCUAUCUGCCGUGGGCGCUGGAGAAUUGAGGGGGGCUGCUCCCAGUACGAGAGGACCGGAGUGGACGCAUCACUGGUGUUCGGGUUGUCAUGCCAAUGGCACUGCCCGGUAGCUAAAUGCGGAAGAGAUAAGUGCUGAAAGCAUCUAAGCACGAAACUUGCCCCGAGAUGAGUUCUCCCUGAGACUAUAAGUCUCCUGAAGGAACGUUGAAGACGACGACGUUGAUAGGCCGGGUGUGUAAGCGCAGCGAUGCGUUGAGCUAACCGGUACUAAUGAACCGUGAGGCUUAACCUUACAACGCCAAAGAAGU